This 21-nucleotide unclassified non-coding RNA is filed under the name Chlamydomonas reinhardtii. RNAcentral's name for it is "small RNA Cre_1958". The record is from RNAcentral. Lineage: Eukaryota; Viridiplantae; Chlorophyta; Chlorophyceae; Chlamydomonadales; Chlamydomonadaceae.
GGUACUGCUCACCAGUGGUGU